RNA transcript from Rhodamnia argentea, 1443 nucleotides. RefSeq lists it as uncharacterized. The transcript is spliced from 5 exons. The record is from RefSeq and is a predicted model, not a curated record. Lineage: Eukaryota; Viridiplantae; Streptophyta; Magnoliopsida; Myrtales; Myrtaceae.
UCAUUCACUCUCUCUCUGAUCGGCAAUCUCCGCAAACUGGUUCCCUUUCCAUCGCCGCCACUCAGCACUUCCGACCGCCGCGACAUCACCGCCGAUGGUCCAUCACCAGGUAACAGCGGCUCAGAACCGAAGAAAAUCUCUCUCUGUCCGAAAAUCUUCCGGAGGAAACGAACCCUCUCAGUUGCCAUCCAACACAAUCCGACGCCGCAGAUUGUCGGAUUGCAUACUUGCGCUCGACUCUUACCGGUUCUGCUUCGUUUUCCGGCGAAGAAAGCUUGAAGGACUUGGAUUUUGUUCGAGGCUUGUCCACUGGUGUAAACCACCAGUGACGGCUUUCUUUAUUGAUUUCAGGCUGUAGUAGCCGAUUUCUGCUCACGCGAUCCACUAUUCUCGAGUUGUGCGGUUUCACCCACGUUUUACUCUGUAUACUGGCCUGAGACCUCGAAGAGCCUCAUUCUUGCUCGAUCUUCUUUUCGUCGUGGACGAUCCUCACCACUGAAGAAUCUAAGAACAUUAUUCCUCAAUCUGCACAUCGUUUGAAGCUAAGGCUCUAGGUGUAUAUCACCGCAAAGCUUUGAGAUAUGGAUGAGACGAUGAAACAAUUCCAGCAAAGUCUAGUUGAGCUUGAAACUGAAGCAGAGAGACUGCUUUUAGCUCGAAAUCAGCUUGUGGAAAAUGACAAACUGCGGAAUGCAAAUAGGGAAGCACUCACGGCAUUAAGAAAGAAGGCUCGCACAACAAAAACUAGUGUUCCGUCGCCUUUUGAGUCGCUUAUGAAGGAUAUUGGUGGCUCGGGAUCAAGGCCCUUGGUGCAUGAGGUGUGUUCAACAUGUGGUAAUUACGACUCAAAGGAGCCCAUGUGGAUGAUGUUCCCUGGAACUGAUAUUUUUGCAAGCAUUCCAUUUCACGCAGCUCAUUCUAUUUUGGAAGAAGCUUCCUUUCUUGUGAUGCAGAACAAUCCCAGCUGGAUUUUGAGGCAAAGAGAUUGCAGAGCUAUGUAAAGGAGAAGUCCAUUUUCAUUUCAGAUAGAGGUGCACUUGCUGAUAAGAUCAGUCCUGGUGUACUUAGAUCUCUGGUGACCUUAACAGACAAACAAAAAGUAGUGGAACAUUCUUAAUCAUUCUCUUAGUGAAAAGCCUGGAGUAACAGCAAGGAAGCUUUUGAUGGAAGGCUCUGAUCAUAAGCAUGGAAGCAACUGCUGGGAUGCAUUUCCUGAAGAUGUUUUCCGGCUUUGGUAUUUUCUUUUUGGAUGGCUGCUUACAAAUGAUGAGUCGAUGGAGCUUAUAAAACUGGUUAGGCUAUGCCCGUGAAGAACAAAUUUAAAAGACUGAAGGCUAGGGGGAGAGUUGAGUAGGCUAGAUCUAAGGGUUAAACAUUGUCAACUCUGUUAACUGUCAUGCAAUUUCAAUGACAGGACAGUAAAUGUGAGAGUUUAGAUUGCAA